Molecule: ribosomal RNA, 435 nt
Filed under: uncultured bacterium
Lineage: Bacteria
Description: partial 16S ribosomal RNA
Rfam family: Bacterial small subunit ribosomal RNA
Source: RNAcentral
GAUGAACGCUGGCGGUAUGCUUAACACAUGCAAGUCGAACGGGCUCUUCGGGGUUAGUGGCGGACGGGUGAGUAACGCGUGGGAAUCUGGCUUUGGGUUCGGGACAACCACUGGAAACGGGGGCUAAUACCGGAUGUUGCGUGCGGACAAAGAGCAUUUGCCUGAAAAUUAGGUCGGGGCUGUUUAGCUAGUUGGUGGGGGGAAGGCCCACCAAAGGAGCGAUCAGUAGCAGGUCUGAGAGGAUGACCAGCCACACCGGGACUGAGACGCCGCCCACACGACUCCUGCGGGAAGCAGUAGUGAAGUAUCCGGGAUGGGCGACAGCCUGACGGAGCAACACCGCGUGGGGAAUGAUGACUCUUGGGUUGUAAACCUGUUUUCUUAGGCAAGAACAUAAUGACGGUACCGAAAGAAUAAGCACCGGCUAACUCCGUG